This is a long non-coding RNA of Pogoniulus pusillus (Red-fronted tinkerbird), 665 nucleotides long. RefSeq lists it as uncharacterized. The record is from RefSeq and is a predicted model, not a curated record. Lineage: Eukaryota; Metazoa; Chordata; Aves; Piciformes; Lybiidae. The transcript is spliced from 3 exons.
GGACUCAAUGGUCUUGAAGGUCUUUUCCAGCUUGCUUAAUUCUGAUUCUGAAUUAGGCUCUCAGCUUGAAAUACUGAGCUACGUGGAAGGUGGUUUUAAGAAGAUAAACACAAACUGACAUGGGAUGAAUCAGCCAUUUUAGUUUAGUUUGCAACAAGUCUAAUAAAAAGAACAGAAAUCUUACCACCAACAUCUAUGAAGUGCUUUGCAGCUAAACCAGAACGUGGUGCUAGAAAACAAGAAGUUUUUAAUCAGAAGUUCACAACUGCCAUGAUUCUAUUUGGAACUGCAAAAGACAUCAUUUUAAGGACUUUCUGAAGCCACUUUACCGGAAGCUUAAAGGCACUGGUGCCAAUACCAGAGUGAGAUUGUUCUACUCGUUUAAGGCAAACAUACUGCACUUUGAUAAAGAACUGUUUUUUAAAGACUUUUUAGUGCUGCCCAGUAUUUUUGUAAAACAGACUCUUCUCGGGCAUACAAUGCAUCACUGGAAUCAGAACAAAACCAAAUCUGGUAUGACAAAAGGAGUAUAAAGGGAAAGCAACAAGUGUGGUGAAGCAAAGCUUUAGAAGGAAGUCAGGCAGAGAAAGAAAAUGACAAGCUGGUUAUUCUAAAUAAUACUAGCAAAGGGAAGGUAGAGGACCUCACCAUGGAGGUCAGACAAC